RNAcentral lists this ribosomal RNA (407 nucleotides) under Verrucomicrobiota bacterium. RNAcentral describes it as "Verrucomicrobia bacterium partial 16S ribosomal RNA". It matches the Rfam family "Bacterial small subunit ribosomal RNA", at positions 355 to 776 of the family's 1533-position model. The record is from RNAcentral. Lineage: Bacteria; Pseudomonadati; Verrucomicrobiota.
UGGGGAAUAUUGGACAAUGGAGGAAACUCUGAUCCAGCAAUUCUGUGUGUGUGAAGAAGGUUUUAGGACUGUAAAACACUUUUAGUAGGGAAGAAAAAAAUGACGGUACCUACAGAAGAAGCAACGGCUAAAUACGUGCCAGCAGCCGCGGUAAUACGUAUGUUGCGAGCGUUAUCCGGAAUUAUUGGGCUUAAAGGGCAUCUAGGCGGUAAGACAAGUUGAAGGUGAAAACCUGUGGCUCAACCAUAGGCUUGCCUACAAAACUGUUGAACUAGAGUACUGGAAAGGUGGGUGGAACUACACGAGUAGAGGUGAAAUUCGUAGAUAUGUGUAGGAAUGCCGAUGAUGAAGAGAACUCACUGGACAGAAACAGACGCUGAAGUGCGAAAGCUAGGGGAGCAAACAGG